ACAAAUACCCACCAUUUGCUUCAACGUGGAUGGAACUGGAGGGUAUUAUGCUGAGUGAAUGGUGUACAAUACUGUGAUCCAUACCUACACAUACAUCCUCAAAUUAAUCCAUUACUAUUUAGAAGAGAAUCUCAGAAGCUACAUCCGUUGGUCAAAGAGCACACAAACAAGGGGAGAAGCAGCAGAGGCAGGAGGAGAAGCAGGCUCCCAGCUGAGCAGGGAUCCCAGUGCAGGGCUGAUCCCAGGACCACAGGAUCAUGACCCGAAUUGAAGGCAGACACUUAACCAACUGAGCCACCCAGGUGCCCUGAAGGAAGUCACUCUUAAACAUUUAAUUAUAGAACUAAUGUUUAAUAUUUAGUCUAGAAAUGUAUAGUCUAUAUAUAUUCAUACAUAUAUAUAUGAAUCAAUAUAAUUCUUUUUGAGUAAUUUCAAAUUUUGAAUAUACUUUUACAU
Long non-coding RNA from Canis lupus familiaris (dog), 456 nucleotides. RefSeq lists it as uncharacterized. The transcript has 3 exons. Lineage: Eukaryota; Metazoa; Chordata; Mammalia; Carnivora; Canidae. The record is from RefSeq and is a predicted model, not a curated record.